Molecule: long non-coding RNA, 1804 nt
Organism: Phasianus colchicus (ring-necked pheasant)
Lineage: Eukaryota; Metazoa; Chordata; Aves; Galliformes; Phasianidae
Source: Ensembl
UCCUAUUUAAGAAGGAUCUUAAAUAGGGUCUAGGAGAGGUGGAAUUGCCUUCACCUGUGCUCCCAGGGCUGACUCAUUGCUCACCUCAGGUGAUCAGUCAGAGGUUGGGGCUCUGAUUCAGCAGUUCCCAUACACCUGCUCACACUGUGCUGUGGGCAGCUGGGAUCGGAGCUUUGAGGAAAGUCCCUCUUUAAGUAAGAUUAACUUAAAGCCAAAGCUGCUGCUUGUUGUCCGAUUCAGUGAUGUGGGAACAUGUGUGAGCCACAUGGUGAUGGGUUCAGGGCCAGGUGGGGACAGGGCAGCGUGCACAGAGCCUGGAUGGUGGGGAUGGAACAUGGGGAUGGGAUGGCUGCCACCCACCCACCACUGAGCCAAGCAUUGCUCUUCUCAAUGCUUGGAUGAUUGGAAAUGGGGCAAAGCAGCUUGUGGACAUCUGGCAGAGCCAGGCACAGCGGGGGGAGCAGCCUGGGUCUUAUGAUUCCAAUUGCCUUUGCUGCUCUGAUGCAGUGAGCUGGGGGGAAGCUGAGCUGCUGCCAUGGGUCCGUCUCAUCCGUUCCUCCACCCCAGGCUGUAGCCUUUCCCCAUGGGAUGCACUGCCAGGCUGCAGCACUCCCCUGGAGGGGGGGACAACAAGAGGAACUCCCCCAAGCCCCAGUGCAGAGCUCGGGUGUUUUAUGAUGCUCAGACACCACCACGAAUGUCACCCCAAGAAAAACCUCACCACAGUGACGCAAAGCAGAGAUGGACGGACAGACAGAAACGGCCGCUCAGAUGGGCUGCAUCUGCACGGGGCUGGGCAGGCAGCCAGCACAAAAUGGUCGUGGCCCUUUUCUGGCUCUGUGCAAUGACAGAAGGCCUCUUAAAAGUCUGCUGUCACCUCUCAGAAUUAAAACAAAGGCUCUGCAUUUGCUCAGGGAUCAUCCUCAGGGCUGCUAGCACAGCACAGCACAGCACUGGCUGCUGCACUACAACUCCCAACCCCAACCAAGAGGUCUCCCCACCCUCAACCAGCUCCAUGUGCUACAGCACAGCCAGCCAUGCCCUUGGGCAGCUCCUGGCUAUUGAGAAGGCUCUGAAUUUGUGGCUCAGUGAUGCUCCAGGUCCUCCUGAGCCACAGUGAGAUGAUGCUGCAGUGACACCAUGCUGGCCUCCAGCAAUGCUGGUUGGUGAGAACAGGUUGGGGAACGGAGAGCAGCCCAUCUGGCUGUAAGAAGAAAAGGCUUCUGGCUUUGCUGCUGGCUCCUGACCCCAUUGGGCUGGGAGGACAUAUGCAAAGGAUUCACUGCUAGGGGAGAACCUUGGGGUUCCCAGGGCUGGGUGGACUCAUCCUUGUUUGUGAAUGGGAGCAUCAAGGAAUGGGGCUGAGAGCAGAGGUGAGGAGCAAGCAGGGAGGGCUCCUGAAGGGAAGCAUCGUUCCUGGGACAGACAGCUGUGCCCCAUGGGCCUCCCCCCACUGGAGAAGGGAGGUUUAAUUAGCAAAAGCCCAAUUACAGCUCGGCAAAACAUUGCAUCCAGUCCCUCCCAAGGACACAGCGCCCGUCUCGCUCUGUCCUUAUCUUCCUUCAGGCUCAUCCAGGUCUGCUCCCAUGCGCUUUGCAAAGACCAAAGGUCUCCAAGCUAUGUUUUCCCACCCUCCCACCACCCUACAAGGACUCCUGGAAAUAGCAUAAACUUGUAAGUUCAGAGCAAAUUCCUGCCUUCAAACUUUUUAUCGGUUUCACUAAAAAGCGUUGGGAAUUAGUUUCCCAACGAAGACAGCAACACGGUAAUGCCACAUUAUAAAUAAAGAUGAAUAAAUAAUACA